AAAAAGAGAGUGGCAGUGGACUUUGUGAUAUUCUUAUACACAAAGCGGUGUGAUCCUGUUUGAAGGUAGACUGAGAGGUCAAUGUAUGCAGUGUAAACGUCAAACCAUCAUGCACGUCAGGACAAAAUGUAACCUUACAGUUAAUAAGACAACGGGACUCAUAGAAAGGAAACUGGGCACCACAGUUAAAAAGUGAAGAAGCAGACAGAUGAGACAGAAAAAGUUACAAGGUCCCAGAUUUAAAUCUAACUAAGUCAGUGAGUAAAUCAUCGUAACACCACAAACACUGGUACACACUGUGUGGUACACACUGUGUCUCCAAGAAGACCAGUUAAUUACAAGCCAGAGACGGGCAGAGAGAAAAGGACAGGAAGGGAUCAGCCAUGGGAACAAGCGUGGGCAUUAAGGCAGAGUGAAUGUUAGCAGAGUUGAACAGGGCGUUUCGUAUUACAAACGAGCUGAUCCACAAGGAGAACACUGACGCACCAACUAACAGAGCUUCAGGGUAGUAAGGGAAAAGCUGCCAGACCUGGAAGAACCAGGGAAAAGCUGCCAGACCUGGAAGAACCACUCGAAAAUGUUUUCAAUAAUUUACACAACAGUUUGAAGAGAAAAUCGGCAACAGUGUGGAGAAUUUGCACAAUACUUCCAACAAAUCGGGAUGGAAGCUUUGACUUAACUGUGUCUGCUGUCCUCUUCAUUCGGCUGAGUUCGUCCUAAGUCACACCGACCUGCAUUUCAUGAGCGACUAGACCACUAGUCAUACAACAAUACCAACCUCCUUUGGAUCCUGGCCAGGGCUGUGUGGAUUCUCUCCCUGUACCGCUUGCACUUCUCCUUGGUGAUGUUGACGUGGAUCAAGCUCCCAUCCUUCCAGGGGACGUGGAUGAAUCUGUUGCAGUAUUUGGCAUGGAUAGUCUUCUUAUUGGUGUCCUGAGGGAAGGACAAAGUUGGGGGCUAGAGCGGGUCCUUAGAAACUCCCUUUGCUAAAACCAAAUAAAGACGACGCCUUGCUUGGGCUCCCAAGGUAACUAAAAACGGAAUAAAAUCUGCACAUCUCUGCCUCCA
This 1068-nucleotide small RNA is filed under the name Rattus norvegicus (Norway rat). RNAcentral's name for it is "uncharacterized LOC102554996". Lineage: Eukaryota; Metazoa; Chordata; Mammalia; Rodentia; Muridae. The record is from RNAcentral.